UGUCACAAUAAUCAGAGUAUUUAUUACAUAGCGGAAGUCUUACAAAAUAAAAAAAAUAAAUAUAAAGGGUUCUAAAAUCUAUCCUUGGCGCCAGAAAGUCAACUGCGAGACGCCACCUAGAUCGAAUCGAACUCCUCGAUGUGUGGCUCCACUUGAACCACCUAUUCUUGUCCUGUGGGGGGUGUGAGACAGCAAGGGUGAGCUCACAUACGUUCAUAGCUCAACAAGUUGUGGGGAAUAAUGUGCAUGAACUCACCAAAGGUGUUAGUUCAUGUAAAGUGUAAGGUUGAUCAACAAAAUAAAGGUUGAGGCUGAGCAUUGCUUCUAUAAGUUGGUCAAAAUUUUAUUAGCAAUUACUAAGUUUAAGUAAAUACCAAACCAUAAUAAAUAAUAUAACAAAAUUAAUAAAUAAUCCCAUGCAAAUGCAAAUGACAAAUUGAAUUUAAGUUACAUAAAUUAAUCAUGUGAGUGUCUGAGCUGCUCAUGACCGUGAGCACGGCUUGUAUACCAGUUUUACACUCUACAGAGGUUGCGCAUCUUUACCCACAAGUCAUGUUACCCAUCUGCCAAGGGGUCAUGAAUCACAUACACCUCUACCAAGGAAGCGAGGCAGGGUGACACUACGAGGCCUUUACAAAGUUCCACUAGCUUCAGUAAACCCGCUACAGUUUCUAGGAAGCUCUAAUGCAGGGAUCCCUCGCCUGACCGCCAUCGUAGCGAAAUCAACCCAAGGACCUCCCUACACUAACCACUCCCCUACCGCCCUUGCCCCUUUCAGGUAAGGUAGUCAUCCACUACCUUUCCUAAUUAGUCAGCCAAGUGCAUCCCAUACUACCCUUGUGGUAGCACUGUUUUCCCGGGUGGUUCUCCAUGUUCCCAUUAACAUAAUGAUCUUAUCAUGAACACAAAGAACAUAACAGAAUAAUAGGAACAUGCAUAUAAUGUAAUAUUAAACCAAAAACCGUGUAAAGCAAUAGCAUACCCAAUGAUUCAGGGGUAAACAAGGUAAAAGAUAAACAGUCAAGGGUGACCUAUUGGGUCCCAUCAAAAUUAAACCUAUGCAUGAAUAGUGAUAAUAAAGAAUAUAAUUGGGUAAGAAAAGUGGAUCAAGGGCACAACUUGCCUGGCACUUGAGAUUGCAGUUACCAGGGUGAUUCUUCAGAUCCUCGAAACCUUGCGCUAGUCAUAGCAAUACAAACAAACAUGGUAUAAAUAAAAUUAACAUCACACCACACAUAAGAACAAACUGAAUAAUAAUGAUCUACGCGAAGCUAUGAGAUCGUGGGAUCAAGAAAUACUAAGAUCGGAGUUACGAUUAAGGAGUUAUGAUUUUAUAGAAGAUCUGUGUGAUUAAAAUAUUAAACUAUAUUAUAAAUAGGUUAAUAUAAAUUAUAUGAGAGCUUAUUCUAUAAAUAAUUAUCUCAAUUUUAAUCUAAGUUAUGAAUGGACCAUAGAUCAUCUUCUAGUAGAUUAUAAUGACAAGUAGAUUAACAAGACUAACCCACAAAAAUUAAAUAAAGAUCUAAUUAGAAAAGAAUGAGACAUGGUAUAAUAACUAUUGUUGUUGCAUAGUAAUUAUUUAUAUGAGACUAACACAACUUGAAUGGAUCAAAUAGGAGUUAUAGAUUUUAAGUUAUCAAUUUCUAAAGAUUUUAUGUGUUUUGUACAAGAUUAAAUAGAAUAUACAUUUUAAUUUGACUUUCAUGUAAAAACAGUGGUACUAACUAAUAAACAACAAUAUUACAAAAUUAUAGAAAUUGGAAUGGAUAAAUUUGGACUCCAUAUGAAUUUUCUAUGAUUUAUACAAAUUUCAGCAUUUACUUUCACAUUUAAAAAUCAUUGUCCAAUUACUUUUAGGCCCCGUUUGUUUCGUUGGAAUUGAAUUCCAUUUUGAUAAUUAUAAUUUAGACAAAACUAAUUAAGUUCAUACAUUUAUAUAUGUAAUAUAUUUAUAUAUUAUCCUAAAUCAUAAUGAAAGAGAUAGUGAUAUACUACAUUUAUGUUAUAGCGAAGCAAGUAGAUGAGUGUGCUAUAAGUUGUACAUCGGAAAAAUAACAUGUAAAUCUAUGGAAUCAAAUUCCAUCUCUCACCUCAUGAAUUUGAGAUAGGCUUAUAUAAUAACUUUGUAAAGUGGUGGAAUGUCACAUUCUAAAAAAAUAGCUUAUUCUAUUAGUAAGAUUCCAAUUCCUCAAAAUGAAAGGAAACAAACUGGACCUUAGUGGAUUUCUAAUUCCCUGGACUAGGCGCCAAAUUCUGGAAAAGGCAGGGGCUCAUCUAUAAUUUUCCACAAGACGGGGGGUUAAUUCACAGGAAGUCGAAGGGCUCUUUUGCAAACAUGCGAGUUCGAAGGGGUAUGAGAGCGUCAGAGCCGUCCGAUCGAAAUCUGAAGAUCCAGAUUAGAUCCCGAGCCAAUCGAACAAAAUAUAGUGCGGACCUUCGGAUUAAGAUCUAACGGUGUAGAUGUUUAUAUAUCUAGAUCCAAUCGCCACCACUGGAUCUACGGCCUACGGUUCAUAUUCUAAACUCAGGAGAUCGCACCGCGUCCAUCCGAUCACGGAUCAAUGGUCCGAGCAUGACUGGGGCUUUGCAGUCAAUCAUGACCGGACACGCAUGGAUCAACGACCGAGCGGCGUCCAAACCGAAGGGGUACGCAGAUCUAAACCACACAGUUAGAUCCGGAUCCGACGACCGGUGUUCAUCAACUAAUGUUUCGGCGGCCGAGCGGCGGCGCGCUUAUGCCCCGCGGCGGAGCAUCGUCAUCGCGUGCCCUGAUCCGGCCCCCAGUGCGAGCCACUACGAGAUUUCUAGCGCAAAACGAAGCCAAUAGAACAACAAGGACGAAGAUGGUGAUUUACCGGCGAUUAAGCUCCGAGGAAGUCCGCCCUCGCUGCGCGGCGGCUCGACCGCGAGAAGAGAGGUCUGACGACCAAUUCGUGAAGUCCCCUGCGACAAUUCUAGGUGGCGUGGCCACCAGUGCCCGCCCCGCAGCUGAGGGAAGGCCCUGAGCCCCACAAUGGAGGCGCGGACAAUGGCAAGCCGGAGCACCCCCGCAGCAGCCCCAGUUGAUCGAGUCGCUGGCCGAGUCCUUUAUGCGCCCAUGGGGUUCGCAGCACGAGCUGUAGGCGAUCGUUCGGCCGAUCCGUACAAGGCGGAAACCUCCUGGCGGCCAUGGAGUUUGUUGCGGAGGUUGGCUUACCGCUCGGUCCCGCAGGGCAACCGGUGAUGACUUGUUGACGCAGGGAAACUGACAACCGGACCCAAUCGCAGUGAGACGGAGCUUUUGCUAGCUCGCCCCCAGCCCACUUUCGAUGACUGACAGACGAAUCUGCUUGUAUCGCAUGCACAGACUGAAGCCCGACCCACGGGACCCACGCGGAAGUGGCGGAGAGGGAACGCACAGCGCGCCAUGCGAGGGGCUGGCUGCCCGGUCCCACACGUCGGCACCGCGAUCUCAUCCAACAGCGAGUGGAGGAGCUGGCCAGUGGGCACGCAGCGCCAGUGGGUGCACGCCCGAGGAGCCUGGCUGGGCCGAGCGCGAGACAUGAGAUAGCUUGUUGGGCCGAGUGUUCAGAAGCCGGCCCAGGAAUAUUCUUCCCUUUUAUUUUCUUUUUCUUUUGUAUUUCCUUUUCUUUUCCCUUUUAUUCUCUUUCCAAAUUUGUGUUUCCAAUUUGAAUUCAUGUAUUUGUAGUCCAUACUUGAGUUAAAUGUAUAUAUUCUAAUAACAGUAUGAACCAAAAUUUAAUUCAUAUAUAUUUAGUGUAUCCAAAUUUUUAUAGCAUUUUCGUUUUCCUUCUCCAAAUUCUCUUUUAUUUUCUAUUCUCCUUUCUCUUAUUCUCAAAUUCCAAACUAAAUUUAAAUUCAUGUUUGAACUUUGAAUUCAUAAUUCUCUCUUGAAUAAUACUUUUGCACUUUGAAAUCUUAAUUAUUUAUUCUUUUUCCCACUAUUUAAUUCUAGCAAUAGUACAUGACAUAAAUAUACUUUCCUUCCUCUUUUCUUUUUGAAGUUAAACAUUCAAAGGCAUGAUAAAUUCAAGAAGGUUUUCAAAAAUUCUAAAAUCUCUAUCAUAGAUAUCCUCAUUUCUUUGUUUUAUUAUUUUACUAUAUAUUUUUCUACCAAUUUUGGGCUUUACAAAUCCUACCCCCCUUAAUAGAAAUCUCGUCCUCGAGAUUUGUAAGAAAGAGGGUAUACUCAUAUUGUCUCAACACAUAUGCACAAACAAAAAUCUCAGCAUGAUGCAUAAUUUAUUAGCAACAUAUGGGAUCAAAUAGACCUUAUUAUUCCUCCUAAACUAGUAUCACACCGACUACUAACUAAAAUAACACUUAGGUCUUACAAAUAGUAAUAAUAUAUAUAUAUAUGUAGCUUGGUGGAGCUGGUGAUGGUGGUGGAGGUAGUGGUUGUUGUUGACGUUGUCUUUCCAACCGUGCUUGCCUUAUUUCUUGACGUAUCUCCAGUCGGUCGUGGCAUAUUUCCUCGUGUUCUUGUCUUAUCUGAUUUUGCAUUUCGGUAACCAUGUCUGACAUUAGUUGUAUUACCAGCAUUUGGGCGGCAACCACUUGAUCGAUUCCAACAGAUGGAGGAUUUGGAGGAUUCAUUUCUAUUCAUUGUUGCAUGGUAAUCUUCCCUUCCUGAUAUUGACCAUGAGAGUUAAAAGCAUAUGGUAGGAUAGCUUUGCAAUGAAAAGUAUUUGGUAUACAGACGAAUAGGCUAGUAUCUGGUUAUUAACUGAAGAUUCUUUGGCAGAGCUUAAUAGGUUGUCUUAUACCAAGCUUAGGAUAACUAGUCGUAUAAGGUGAAUAUCCAAAGGUAGGAUAGCAUUUUUUUGCCAAGAUGAGAUAGUCUACAUGAUGUAGGUUAAAAAUUUGUUUGACAUUUGGUGGAGACAGAUAGAUUAUGCAAUUCAUCAUGACACUAAUGGUUUGGGUUAGUUCUUAUGCUCAUGGUUGAGUUGAUCUAAUGUGCUAAGUUAAGUUAACACCUGGCUAGAAGGGUCCAAGAACCACUAAUAUGUUUAAGCAGACCACAUUGGAUUAGAUCACCCUAGAUUCCAUAAUCCUAUUUAAGAAUACCAUUUUAGUUGAGCAUAUCCAACUGACUUUAUCUUUAUGAAAUUCUUGUAUAUAUUUUUUUAUCUUAGUGAAACUUCCAAUUAGUAUAUAUUUUUAUACACAUAAAAUUUUCAUGCCAUUAAUAGGUGAGGCUUAGAAAACAAGGGUACCUCAGAUUUUAGCUAUUAGGUGAGUAUUGACAUAGAAUGAGUGUACUAUGGCAUAAUCGAGCUUCCUUUGGGGGUCUGAAUUAGGGACCAUCGGUCAUGGUGUUAGAUGCUCCUAUCCAAGUUGGGAUAACAAUUGCAGGUAUAUGGGGUAGGUAGAUUGAAUAGAGUUUUACUUCUCUUGUAAGAUAAAUGGGUUGGGCAACCUAUAACAUAGGCUAGGUCGUGGUUCCACGAACGAGUUGGUCUAAGACACAAAUUUAGGUUUAGAAUCCAUUUGUAUGAAAAUGGUCUAAUCAGUGUUACCAGCAUUAACUAACUUGUUUAAGUGACUCCCUUUAGAUCAAAUCAUAUUAGAUUAGGUAGGGUCUAUAUUAGAUUAGAUAUAACUAGUUUAGACUAGUUUAAGUUAGAUAGAUCUACCAGGCUAGCAUAUAUAUUUUUAGGAUAUGUUAGAAUCUUUUGCGAUAGGAUGGAUUAUAUGGUGUAGGUAAGUCAGACUCUCUGUUAGGUUAAAAUAGAGCGGUUAUGCAGCUAUCGGGUGGUUAAGGUAGUCGCAUAUGGUUAGGUAGUUGUAUGUGGUCUAGUUAAUCUAGAGCACCAAUUUAGGUUAAAACAUGCUUAUAGAAGUAGGGUCCAAUCUAUUUUCCCAGGAUUAACUAACUUGUUUGAAUGGGUCACAUUGGGUUAGUUUAGAUUAGAUGGGAACUAGAUUAGUUUAUCAUAACUAGAUUUGACUAAAUAAGACCUAAUUAAUUUUGGAUCAGAUUAGGUCGAAUGGGGUCUAGGUAUGACCAGAUUAAUCUAGAUAAGAUCUAGAAUAUAUUGAUAUGACUGGUUUAGUCUAGAUAAGACCUACUUAAUUUAUUUUGGAAUAGAUCAUGUUUGUUACACUGUUACGAGAUAAGCAAAGUGGUGGGGAUAAGUAUGCUCAUUAGGACAGGAUGAGUCUCUAAGAAUAAGAUAGAAUCUUUUGAGAUUAGUUAGAUCUAUUCAGAUAAGAGAGAACCUUUCAAGAUAAGAUGGAUCUAUUAAAAUAGAUACACUUUAAUGGAGGAUAAUCUAAUCUCAUGAAUUUUAUUUAUUUAUACUUAUGCUUAUAUGUAUAUGUAGAUGUAAUUGUGGACGUUACUCCACGACUCAUCACAAUCAAUCAAAGAACCAAAUCAGACAAAUAUCAUAAGAACAAACAUUCAAGUGUAUAGAUCCUAUAAAAAUAGUUUUGUUUUUUCGUUCCUAAGAGUAGGUCUCCUAUUCCUUUAGGCACAGGAUUUCAAAGUGUGAAAUCCACAUUUGUCUUUAGAAGGAAAAGAUAAGAAAAUCAGAGUAAAGCGGAAAUAGAUGAGAAAAGAUUAACAUAAGUUUAGAAAAGAAUUAGAGUAAGGUAAGUAGGUAAGGGUCUGACCAUUUCUAUCUAGGUUUCGUCCUACAGUCAACUUUUCCUCUGAUACCACUUCUGUCACACCCGGUUUUAAGGGACAAAGUCGGGUGCAUCUCAUACAUGCGCCAAAGAAGACAACAUAUAUAAUAACAUAGUGUAUAGAGAUAAAUGUCACAAUAAUCAGAGUAUUUAUUACAUAGCGGAAGUCUUACAAAAUAAAAAAAAAUAAAAGGAUCCAAAAUCUAUCCUUGGCGCUAGAAAGUCAACUGGGAGACGCCACCCAGAUCGAAUUGAACUCCUCGAUGUGUGGCUCCACUUGAACCACAUGUUCUUCUCCUGUGGGGGGGUGUGAGACAGCAAGGGUGAGCUCACAUACGUUCAUAGCUCAACAAGUUGUGGGGACUAAUGUGCAUGAACUCCCCAAAGGUGGAAGUUCAUGUGAAGUGUAAGGUUGAUCAACAAAAUAAAGGUUGAGGCUGAGCAUUGCUUUUAUAAGUUGGUCAAAAUUUUAUUAGCAAUUACUAAGUAUAAGUAUAUACCAAACCAUAAUAAAUAAUAGAACAAAAUUAAUAAAUAAUCUCAUGCAAAUGCAAAUGACAAAUUGAAUUUAAGUUACAUAAAUUAAUCAUGUGAGUGUCCGAGCUGCUCAUGACCGUGAGCACGACUAAUAUACCAGUUUUACACUCUGCAGAGGUUGUGCAUGUUUACCCACAAGUCAUGUUACCCAUCUUCCAAGGGGUCAUGAAUCCCAUACACCUCUACUAAGAAAGCGAGGCAGGGUAACACUACGAGGCCUUUACAAUGUUCCACUAGCUUCAGAAAACCCGCUACAGUUUCUAGGAAGCUCCAAUGCAGGGAUCCCUCACCUGACCGCCAUCAUAGCAUAAUCAACCCAAGGACCUCCCUACACUGACCACUCCCCUACUGCCCUUGCCCCUUUCGGGUAAGGUAGUCAUCCACUAGCUUUCCUAAUUAGUCAGCCAAGGGCAUCCCAUACUACCCUUGUGGUGGCACUAUUUUCCCGGGUGGUUCUCCAUGUUCCCAUUAACAUAAUGAUCUUAUCAUGAACAUAAAUAACAUAACAGAAUAAUAGGAACAUGGAUAUAAUGAAAUAUUAACCCAAAAACCGUGUAAAGCAAUAGCAUAACUACCCAAUGAUUCAGGGGUAAACAAGGUAAAAGAUAAACAGUCUAGGGUGACCUAUUGGGUCCCAUCAAAAUUAAACCUAUGCAUGAAUAGUGAUAAUAAAGAAUAUAAUUGUGUAACAAAAGUGGAUCAAGGGCAAAACUUGCCUGGCACUUGAGAUUCCAGUUACCUGGGUGAUUCUUUAGAUCCUCGAAACCUCGCGCUAGUCGUAGCAAUACAAACAAACAUGGUAUAGAUAAAAUUAACAUCACACCAAACAUAACAACAAACUGAAUAAUAAUGAUCUACGCGAAGCUAUAAGAUCGUGGGAUCGAGAACUACUAAGAUCGGAGUUACGAUUAAGGAGUUAUGAUUUUAUAGAAGAUCCGUGUGAUUAAAUAUUAAACUAUAUUAUAAAUUGGUUAAUAUAAAUCAUAUGAGAGGUUAUUUUAUAAAUAAUUAUCUCAACUUUAAUCUAAGUUAUGAAUUGACCAUAAAUCAUCUUAUAGUAGAUUAUAAUGAUAAGUAGAUUAACAAGACUAACCCACAAAAAUUAAAUAAAGAUCUAAUUAGAAAAGAAUGAGACAUGGUAUAAUAACUAUUGUUAUUGCAUAGUAAUUAUUUAUACGAGACUAAUGCAACUUGAAUGGAUCAAAUCGGAGUUAUAGAUUUUAAGUUAUGAAUUUCCAAAGAUUUUAUGUGUUUUGUACAAGAUUAAAUAGAAUAUAAAUUUAAUUUGACUUUCAUGUCAAAACAGUGGUACUAACUAAUAAACAAUAAUAUUACAAAAUUAUAGGAAUUGGAAUGGAUUAAUUUGGACUCCAUAUGAAUUUUCUAUGAUUUAUAAAAAUUUCAGCAUUUAUUUUCACGUUUAAAAAUCAUUUUCCAAUUACUUUUAGUGGAUUUCUAAUUCCCUGGACUGGGCGUCAAAUUCUAGAAAAGACAGGAGCUCAUCUAUAAUUUUCCACAAGACUCAGACCGCAACCCUACUGGACGGCGGGUUAAUUCACAAGAAGUCGAAGGGCUCUUUUGCAAACAUGCGAGGUCGAAGGGGUAUGAGAGCGUCAGAGCCGUCCGAUCGAAAUCUGAAGAUCCAGAUUAGAUCCCGAGCCAAUCGAACGAAAUACAGUGCGGACCUUCGGAUUAAGAUCUAACGGUGUAGAUGUUUAUAUAUCCAGAUCCAAUCGCCACCACUGGAUCUACAGCCUACGGUUCAGAUUCUAAACUCCGGAGAUCGCACCGCGUCCAUCCGAUCACGGAUCAAUGGUCCGAGCAUGACUGGGGCUUUGCAGUCAAUCGUGACCGGACACGCAUGGAUCAACGGCCGAGCGGCGUCCAAACCGAAGGGGUACGCAUAUCUAAACCACGCCGUUAGAUCCGGAUCCGAUGACCGGUGUUCAUCAACUAACCCAGCGGCGGCUGAGCGGCGGCGCGCUUAUGCCCCGCGGCGGAGCAUCGCCGUCGCGUGCUUGAUCCGGCUCCUAGUGCGAGCCACUACGCGAUUUCUAGUGCAAAACGAAGCCAAUAGAACAACAAGGGCGGAGAUGGUGAUUUUACCGGCGAUUAAGCUCUAAGGAAGUCCGCCCUCGCUGCGCGGCGGCUCGAGCACGAGAGGAGAGGUCCAGCGACCAAUUCGUGAAGUCCUCGACGACAAUUCCAGGUGGCGUGGCCACCAGCGCCCGCCCCGCAGCCGAGGGAAGGCCCUGAGCCCCAUAAUGGAGGCGCGGACGACGGCAAGCCGGAGCACCCCUGCAGUAGCCCCAGCUUCUCUCCGUGGCGGCAGGAAAUUCUCACGAUUGCGGCAAGGAUGGCGGGGUAAGGGUGGGGCGAGUUGAUCGAGUCGCUGGCCGAGUCCUUUAUGCGCCCCUGGGGUUCGCAGCAUGAGCUGUAGGCAGUCGUUCCGCCGAUCCGUACAAGGCGGAAAUCUCCCGG
Molecule: long non-coding RNA, 9654 nt
Filed under: Zea mays
Lineage: Eukaryota; Viridiplantae; Streptophyta; Magnoliopsida; Poales; Poaceae
Description: long non-coding RNA (ZMAY_LNC003652)
Source: RNAcentral